Molecule: ribosomal RNA, 407 nt
Filed under: uncultured bacterium
Lineage: Bacteria
Description: partial 16S ribosomal RNA
Rfam family: Bacterial small subunit ribosomal RNA
Source: RNAcentral
AUUGAACGCUAGCGGGAUGCCUUACACAUGCAAGUCGAACGGAGUGGCGAACGGGUGAGUAAUGUCUCGGAGCGGGCCCAGUAGCGGGGGAUAACUACGCGAAAGCGUAGCUAAUACCGCAUACUAUUGAAGCGGCCGAUAUCGGCUGAGCUAGUUGGUGGGGUAACGGCUCACCAAGGGGCCGAUCCGUAGCGGGGUUGAGGGGACGACCAGCCACACGGGGACUGAGACACGGCCCAGACUCCUACGGGAGGAAGCAGUGGGGAAGUUUGGACAAUGGGGGAAACCCUGAUCCAGCCAUCCCGCGUGUGCGAUGAAGGCCUUCGGGUUGUAAAGCACUUUUGGCAGGAAAGCGGUACCUGCAGAAUAAGCACCGGCUAACUACGUGCCAGCCGCCGCGGUAAUAC